RNAcentral lists this ribosomal RNA (494 nucleotides) under uncultured bacterium. Its description in RNAcentral is "partial 16S ribosomal RNA". It matches the Rfam family "Bacterial small subunit ribosomal RNA", at positions 28 to 507 of the family's 1533-position model. The record is from RNAcentral.
GACGAACGCUGGCGGCGUGCCUAAUACAUGCAAGUAGAACGCUGAAGGAGGAGCUUGCUCUUCUGGAUGAGUUGCGAACGGGUGAGUAACGCGUAGGUAACCUGCCUGGUAGCGGGGGAUAACUAUUGGAAACGAUAGCUAAUACCGCAUAACAGUAGAUGUUGCAUGACAUUUACUUAAAAGGUGCAAUUGCAUCACUACCAGAUGGACCUGCGUUGUAUUAGCUAGUUGGUGGGGUAACGGCUCACCACGGCGACGAUACAUAGCCGACCUGAGAGGGUGAUCGGCCACACUGGAACUGAGACACGGCCCAGACUCCUACGGGAGGCAGCAGUGGGGAAUCUUGGGCAAUGGCCGGAAGCCUGACCGAGCAACGCCGCGGGAGUGAAGAAGGUUUUCGGAUCGUAAAGCUCUUUUGUAAGGGAGGAAGGGGGGUGAGAGUGGAAAUUGCCGAUUGGACGGUAACCUUACAAGAAGGGACGGCUAACUUAGUG